CGUGCCCGGGCGGAGCGGGCGCGCUGGGCCCGGUAGCCGCGGCCAUGUGGGGCUGUGGUGACUCCGGUGGAGCCGCCGCCGCCACCGUCGUUCUGAGCGGGACCCGUGACUGCUUCCUGCACCUGCCGCCCGCGCUGGCCUCGCUCCUCCGCCUGCAGCAGGGUCAAGCUGUGAAAGUAUCCUGUGGUCAUCAGUCAGUAUUUUUGAGCUGGAUGGAAACUAGGCAUCGAGAUCACCGGAGUGAAAAUACUGCAGAGAUUAACAGACAUUUGGCAGAGAAACUUGGCAUCACAGAUGGAGAACAGGUGUUUCUUGAACCCUGUUCCCAUGUGUCCUCCUGUCAGCAAGUAGAAGUGGAACCACUCACAGCAGAUGAUUGGGAAAUUCUGGAACUGCAUGCUUCCUCCCUUGAAAGACAUCUUCUUGACCAGAUUCGAGUGGUGUUUCCAAGAGCCAUCUUUCCUGUCUGGGUUGAGCAGCACACCCACGUUUACAUCAGAAUUGGUACACUUGUGCCAGCAGCCCCAUAUGGGAGAUUAGAGCCAUGCACGGAGCUUCUGAUAUGUCCCAAAACACACGGACCUGAGGAGAAUAUCACCAGCACACCUGCCACAGAAAGUGACAUCUUGCUCAAAAAUUUUGUGAAAAAUAACAUGGAACAAGAAGACACAUUAAAGGAUCCUUUUGCCAAACAACCUUACUUAAAGUCUGGAGUCCUUGAACAGAGUAAGGCUGAUGCAAACAUGACAUUUGGCUCAAAUGUUCUCCCAAAUAUAUGGAAUUUCAUAGGGAACAUUUUCUCUAAUACAUCAGAGCAGAAACAAAAGACUUUGUGUGAUAAUAAUGAAAUGAGCGCCUUCAAAGACAAGCUGCUGAACUUAAUUCACAUGGAUUCCAUUUUUAGAGUAUGUCAGUCCCAGCCUCCCAGCGUACAGAAUGUAUCCACCACUCAUGAAUUUCUGAAAUGCAAUGCUGUUCACGUUUUUCCAUGGAAUUUAGAAUAUAUUGAUUUGGAUCCAAAUCCUGUAGUAUCUUAUGGGAAAAUUAAUGAGCUGCUUUCCCCAAGAGCGCGUCAUCAAGAAGCAAAACAAAAUCUGCCACUUGAAAAGCAAAAUCAUUUCAUUAAUACACAAGAAAAAAAUCCUUCUAAUUCUAAUACUGGCCAAGCAUCCAGUGAGGGAUCUGUUGUUCAGAUCGUUUGGAAUGGAUUUGAAGACCUAAAGAGUGUCAUAGAGUAUGGCCACGAUGGGGGAGCCCUGCAUGCUGGAAGAGUUUGGAUUGCAGAUGGUCUGCGAAAAAAACUACAUAUUGAAAUACAUUCAACGGUCCGAAUUAAGUCAGUUGAAUCUAUUCCUAAAAUUCCUGUAUCUCUUACAUUGCAACCCAAACAGAACUUACAUAAAGAUAUACAUGAAGAUGAUGUUAAAUGUGCAUUCAGUUCUUGGCUGCAGGAUUGCACUACUGAUGAUCAUCCAUGGAUAAUGACAAGCACAGACUGUGUACAUCUGUCUGUUAAAGAAGGAAUGGAGGAGUUUGUCCUUAGUGCAGUGCAUCCUGUGCACAUUGAAGAAAAUAAGUCUGAGAAUAUUUUUAUGCUGAGUCCCAGUUUGCUGCAAAAGACAAAUAUACAAGUUCUUUUACAUCCUGUAAGUAGAAAAGCUGAUGAUGACAACCAACCACCUAUGACUGAUGGAGACAAGAACCUUCCAUACCUCAAACUAAGUGAUUUAGGAGGAGUGGGCAAAUUAGGAACAUCUUUAUUUGAACACAUAAGCCACAGUCUUCUGGGGCGUCCUUUAUCUCAAAAGCUGGCUGCUAAUGCUGUGGGACUGCGAAGUGGAGGGGUGCUUCUCACAGGAGGAAAGGGAAGUGGAAAGUCAACAUUAGCAAAGGCCAUCUGCAAAGAAGCUUUCACUGAACUGGAUGCUCAUGUAGAAAUAAUUGACUGUAAAGCUUUAAGAGGAAAAAGAUUAGUAAACAUAAGGAAACAUGUGGAAGAAGCUUUUUUAGAGGCAGCAUGGAGACAGCCAUCCAUUCUUCUGAUGGAUGAUCUUGAUCACAUUGUUGGAGUACCUUCUACACCAGAGCAUGAGAACAGCCCUGAAACUGUUCAAAGCAAUAGACUUGCUUAUGUUUUGAAAGAUCUGAUGAAAGAAGUUAUUUCCAUGGGGAGUUUGAUUGCAUUAAUUGCUACGAGUCAGUCUGAACAUUCGCUUCAUCCUUCCCUGGUUUCAGCACAAGGAACUCAUGUAUUUCAGUGCUUCAAAUGUAUUCGAACUCCAGAUCAGAACCAAAGACGUGAAAUGCUGUAUUCCAUAAUAAAGAAAAAACUGAAUUCUGAUCCAAAGGACUUCUCUGAUCUUGACCUCCAGUGUAUUGCAAAGGAAACAGAAGGUUUUGUUGCUAGAGAUUUUACUAUGCUGGUUGAUCGUGCCAUUCAUACCUGUGCUUCUAACCAGAAUGCAUCAGAUGAUGGUGCAGAUUUGAACCUGUCAACUGUGGAUUUUCAAAGGGCUCUAAAGGAUUUUACUCCAUUAGCUCUGAGAAAUGUCAAUCUUCAUAAACCUAAAGACCUUGGCUGGGACAGGAUUGGUGGCUUAAAAGAUGUGAAGCAAAUGCUCAGGGAUACCAUCAUGUUACCUGCAAAGUAUCCAGAAUUAUUUGCAAGCCUGCCCAUACGACAAAGAUCAGGAGUUUUGCUGUAUGGAGCACCUGGAACAGGAAAAACAUUGUUGGCAGGAGUGGUUGCGAGAGAGAGUGGAAUGAAUUUCAUCAGCAUUAAGGGACCAGAGCUGCUCAGCAAGUACAUUGGAGCAAGUGAACAAGCAGUUCGAGAUAUAUUUAACAGAGCUCAGGCAGCUAAGCCUUGUAUUGUUUUCUUCGAUGAGUUUGAUUCUAUUGCUCCUCGCCGAGGUCACGACAACACAGGAGUUACUGACCGAGUGGUUAACCAGUUGUUGACUCAGUUAGAUGGUGUGGAAGGCCUGCAAGGAGUUUAUGUGCUAGCUGCUACCAGUCGCCCAGAUUUGAUUGACCCUGCUUUGUUAAGGCCAGGUCGACUGGAUAAAUGCCUGUACUGUCCACCUCCUGAUCAGAACUCACGCUAUGAAAUCUUAAAAGCUCUCAGUCAUUCCCUGUCCUUGGCAAAUGAUGUGGACUUUCAGGAUUUGGCAUCAAAAACAGAACAGUUCACAGGGGCUGACCUAAAAGCUUUAUUAUACAAUGCCCAAUUGGAAGCAAUCCAUACUAAUUUAAAUUUAGGUUUAACACAGGAUUUUGGAUCUAGUUCUGAUAGUGACUUCAGUCUCUCUUCCAUGGUUUUUCUUAACCACAGCAGUGGCUCAGAUGAUUCAGCAAUAGAUGGAGAAGCGGGGCUAGAGCACUCUCUUAUUUCUUUAGACAUGUCUGACUUGCUUCCUGAAGAUCCAAGGUCCAACAUAUAUCGCCUUUAUUUUGGAAGCUCUUAUGAAUCAGAGCUGGGAAAUGGAACUCCUUCAGAGCUGAGCUCUCUGUGUUUGUCCGGUCCAAACUCCAUAACUUAUGACCUUACCAGCAUCACUCACAGAGAUGUUGUAUCCUCACAACCUGCAAUGUUUAGAGAAGCUUCUCAAGAAGGAUCCCUGGAGAACCAGGAGCAGCAAGCAGAGCACCUGAGGACAGAAAUCAAUGCUAGCAAGGCCAAUUACAGAAGCAAGAAUGGAAAACUUUUCAUUGUCUCUUCAUGGCUCUUUUCAAGGAGGACAGCACCUUUAAUCAAUCAAUGCUUCCCAAGACCACUUUAACUAUUACCCAGUCUCAUCUGAUGACUGCUCUUCAGGGUAUGAGACCAUCCAUUAGUCAGGAUGACUGGAAGCAUUUCACUGAACUGUAUGAUAAUUUUCAGAAUCCCAAGAAGAGUAAAGUACAGAUUGGUGCAACAUUCAGACCAGGACAAAAAAUUACUCUAGCUUAGUAACUUGUAUUUGCUUGUAAUUGCUGAACUGUAACUGGAAAUUACAGAUAUGAUGAAAUCAGAUUAUUUAUAUUCAUAUGGAUUUAUUAAUGCAGCAGUGAAGAUAAGUUUCUUUUAAACUUACAUGCUGUAAAAUUAUGUCACAUUUUAUUUUGAAGAAAAUUGUCCUCCUUUAGAUUGAUAUUAAAUUUUUUGAGAGAACAUUUGUUA
Molecule: RNA transcript, 4162 nt
Organism: Parus major (Great Tit)
Lineage: Eukaryota; Metazoa; Chordata; Aves; Passeriformes; Paridae
Gene: PEX1
Gene name: peroxisomal biogenesis factor 1
Exons: 24
Source: RefSeq, a predicted model, not a curated record